Long non-coding RNA from Brassica napus (rape), 1019 nucleotides. RefSeq lists it as uncharacterized. Lineage: Eukaryota; Viridiplantae; Streptophyta; Magnoliopsida; Brassicales; Brassicaceae. The record is from RefSeq and is a predicted model, not a curated record. The transcript has 2 exons.
AUAGAAAAAAAUACUACUUUUAUACUUUUGCAGCUAAAUAAAGUUAUUAAUAUUAUGGUUCCAUAUUUCCAUUCCAUAAGAAAAAAACACACACGUUUUCUCUAUUUUCGUGAUUUCAUCGGUCAGCAGUGUUGCUAGUAAAAUUAUUAAUAUAAAACGUAACAUGCAUUUAUUUGCUUUUGGCGGGGAAAAAUUUAUGCUCUCAGUCACUUUCUCGCUUUCGAAUUACGCCACAAGCCACAUCCCACUUGAAACACACAUUAUAGUGUAUGAAAGACCAUAUUGCCCUUUAACUAAAGGAGAACCAACUUUACUUCUUUCUUUUCUCUAUCUUCUCAUUUUCUUAAUCGGUUAAUCAAAACAACACGUGACCCUUUCUUCUUCUAUAUUUUUACUUUACCAAUUCAAAAACUCUAAUCCCUCAAAUUCAUUCUUCCAGAAACUUGCGUAGGAUUCUUGCGUAUUUCUAUCAAAGUCACCACCUCUCGAGAUGCAUGUUCUUCUUAGAACUUUGAGCAGGACAAAAAAUUCCUGACAACCGUCUCCCACCGAUGAUGUUUGCGACUGACCACAACCGUCUCCCUUGUGGUCAGCCAAUACGGCACACUACAUUACGUCCACAACUCCCCUUACAUGGCUAGCCGUCCACAACUCACACGUCCACAACUCUCCCGUCUUCAACUCUUCUGUCCACACACCACUCGUCCACACCUCACUCGUCCACGACUAUCCCGUCUACAAUUCCACCGAACACCUUUCCGCUGUGUGUGCUCCUGCAUCUCCUCAACCAUAUUCUGCUUUGUACUAUAGUAGCGCUCAUAGGCUAAAUCUGCAGGACUCUCCACCUCAUCCAACAUGUUAUACUUUGUAUGAUAGUAACGCUCUAAACUUAAUCUGUCACAAAGAGAGUCUAGAGCUUCCUCACAUACGAGACGAAGAAUUUCAUGUCAUUGUCGUCAUGUAAUGCCAAGCUUAUUUUUAACAUCAGCCGUCAGAUUAAAAAAUUAUUUUUCAUCUUA